This 76-nucleotide transfer RNA is filed under the name Candidatus Onthoplasma faecigallinarum. Its description in RNAcentral is "tRNA-Thr". It matches the Rfam family "tRNA". Rfam says of the family: Transfer RNA (tRNA) molecules are approximately 80 nucleotides in length. The record is from RNAcentral. Lineage: Bacteria; Bacillati; Bacillota; Clostridia; Christensenellales; Christensenellaceae.
GCUUGUGUGGCUCAGUCGGUAGAGCAGCUGAUUCGUAAUCAGCAGGUCGGCGGUUCGAGUCCGCCCACAAGCUCCA